AUUGAACGCUGGCGGCAUGCCUUACACAUGCAAGUCGAACGGUAACGGGCCUUCGGGUGCCGACGAGUGGCGAACGGGUGAGUAAUACAUCGGAACGUGCCCGAUCGUGGGGGAUAACGAGGCGAAAGCUUUGCUAAUACCGCAUACGAUCUACGGAUGAAAGCAGGGGACCGCAAGGCCUUGCGCGGACGGAGCGGCCGAUGGCAGAUUAGGUAGUUGGUGGGAGAAAAGCUUACCAAGCCGACGAUCUGUAGCUGGUCUGAGAGGAUGAUCAGCCACAUGGGGAAGGGGACCGGGCCCAAACCCCUACGGGGGGCAGCAGGGGGGAAUUUGGGAAAAGGGGCGCAAGCUUGAUCCACCCAUGCCGCGGGCAGGAUGAAGGCCUUCGGGUUGUAAACUGUUUUUUUACGGAACAAAAACCCUUUUUUUAAUACAGGGGGGUCAUGACGGGACCGUAAGAAUAAGCACCGGCUAAUUACGU
RNAcentral lists this ribosomal RNA (481 nucleotides) under uncultured bacterium. RNAcentral describes it as "partial 16S ribosomal RNA". It matches the Rfam family "Bacterial small subunit ribosomal RNA", at positions 29 to 506 of the family's 1533-position model. The record is from RNAcentral.